CCUACGGGAGGCAGCAGUGGGGAAUAUUGCACAAUGGGGGAAACCCUGAUGCAGCGACGCCGCGUGAGUGAAGGAGUAUCUCGGUACGUAAAGCUCUAUCAGCAGGGAAGAAAAUGACGGUACCUGACUAAGAAGCCCCGGCUAACUACGUGCCAGCAGCCGCGGUAAUACGUAGGGGGCAAGCGUUAUCCGGCUUGACUGGGUGUAAAGGGAGCGUAGACGGCAGCACAAGUCUGGAGUGAAAUCCCGGGGCUUAACCCCGGGACUGCUUUGGAAACUGUGCGGCUGGAGUGCAGGAGGGGUAAGCGGAAUUCCGAGUGUAGGGGUGAAAUGCGUAGAUAUUAGGAGGAACACCGGUGGCGAAGGCGGCUUACUGGACUGUAACUGACGUUGAGGCUCGAAAGCGUGGGGAGCAAACAGGAUUAGAUACCCGAGUAGUC
RNAcentral lists this ribosomal RNA (440 nucleotides) under uncultured bacterium. RNAcentral describes it as "partial 16S ribosomal RNA". It matches the Rfam family "Bacterial small subunit ribosomal RNA", at positions 338 to 795 of the family's 1533-position model. The record is from RNAcentral.